RNAcentral lists this ribosomal RNA (870 nucleotides) under Trametes elegans. Its description in RNAcentral is "eukaryotic LSU rRNA". The stretch from base 231 to 384 matches the Rfam family "5.8S ribosomal RNA". Lineage: Eukaryota; Fungi; Basidiomycota; Agaricomycetes; Polyporales; Polyporaceae. The record is from RNAcentral.
GUAGAACGGGCACUCGUAAGUGAACCUUGCGGAAGGAUCAUUAACGAGUUUCUGAAACGGGUUGUAGCUGGCCUUCCGGGGCAUGUGCACACCCUGCUCAUCCACUCUACACCUGUGCACUCACUGUAGGUUGGCGUGGGCUUCCUUCGCGGGAAGCAUUCUGCCGGCCUAUGUACACUACAAACACUAUAAAGUAACAGAAUGAAUUCGCGUCUAAAGCAUCAGAAUAAAACUUUCAGCAACGGAUCUCUUGGCUCUCGCAUCGAUGAAGAACGCAGCAAAAUGCGAUAAGUAAUGUGAAUUGCAGAAUUCAGUGAAUCAUCGAAUCUUUGAACGCACCUUGCGCUCCUUGGUAUUCCGAGGAGCAUGCCUGUUUGAGUGUCAUGGAAUUCUCAACCUAUAAAUCUUUGUGGUUUAUGGGCUUGGACUUGGAGGCUUGCCGGCCUCAAUGGUCGGCUCCUCUUGAAUGCAUUAGCUUGAUUCCGUGCGGAUCGGCUCUCAGUGUGAUAAUUGUCUACGCUGUGAACCGUGAAGCGUUUGGCGAGCUUCUAACCGUCCCGUUGGGACAAUUUACUGACAUCUGACCUCAAAUCACGUAGGACUACCCGCUGAACUUAAGCAUAUCAAAACGCGGGGAGAGAAAAGUUAUGUUGGAUCGGUGCCCAGAAACCGGGGCCACUCGGAUCCCCGUUUCGCGCAGCGGAGGCUGGCUACUGGACGAUGGCGUCAUGGUCACAGUUCCUAGCGUCACGGGCAUGAGCGAUCAAGACUCCUAGUAAUCUCGUAAUCCCCGACAACCUCUACCGUGUCAGUGUUGACGAUGAUGAUCGUGGAUGCGUAGCACUCUCACUACUAAAGGGUAGGUUCGAG